This is a non-coding RNA of Picea glauca (white spruce), 121 nucleotides long. Lineage: Eukaryota; Viridiplantae; Streptophyta; Pinopsida; Pinales; Pinaceae. The record is from Rfam.
ACAUGCCUACAACAUAAUGUUAAUGCAUCGAAUCCCAUUAGAACUCCAUAUUUAAGCACGCUUAGGCUAGAGUAGCACUGGGAUGGGUGACCGCCCGAGAAUUCCUAGUGUUUUACAUGCC